Molecule: long non-coding RNA, 1572 nt
Filed under: Oreochromis niloticus (Nile tilapia)
Lineage: Eukaryota; Metazoa; Chordata; Actinopteri; Cichliformes; Cichlidae
Description: lncRNA (ENSONIG00000034262.1)
Source: RNAcentral
CUCUGCUUCAAUUCAGCAACAUCAGGUAAUGUUCAUUUGUUGAUUAAUGGUUUUCUUUCGUUUUUGAUCUACUGCUGAAUAUUUUUAUAAAAUCGUUUUUCUGUUUUAGCGUCAGCUACGUUGACACAAAGACAUCUGCUGUGAUGCUUACACCUUAGAUAAAGUCUCGAAAGUGUCAGCUUUCUUUUUUUAGUUAUAAAAAUAUGCAAAUGUACUGAUCGAUGAUCUGAAUUAUACUAUUGACUGACUGUCUGAGGCUAACAGUUACACAAUCAUACCAAAACUCUGUCCUGAUAGUUUCCACUUUCUCUUUUGUAUCAGACAUACUGAGACAAUAUUCGGGAUAAAUAACCACGAAAACAAUUUAUUUAUUCAGUUUAGAGGUUUACACAUCACAUCAAUACAAUCACAGAGCCCGUUUCACUUGAAUCGUCCACUUGAUGGCGCAGUAGAGCAAAUGAAUCAUCACAAUGCUUCGAAACAUGAGUCGACCAGUUGGAUGGAAAGCUUCAGUUCAUCACGAGUGUCUUUCCAUAUGAAGUGGACGUUUCUUUUCUAAAUAAACAGAACAGCUUUUAAACACUUUACUAGAAAUUUUACAUUUACCAAACACAAAUCAACUUUUCUAGUUUAUUUAAAAACAAUCCUUUUUAUUUGGAUAAAAACGGGUAUACGGAGGAAGGUCACAAGUCCCAGUUUUACACUGGGACAUGAACGCAGCUUCCGUUUGGGGACUCGGGACGACGUCAUCAACAAGCGCCACAAGAGCUCUUCACAAAAAUCUGCCUGGUUUCAGGUUAGUCGGCUCACAUUUAGAACCCUCGACACAGAAGAGACUGCAACGCUAGUGUGGACCUGAUAGCAAAACCAAUCGAUGCUUGUAUCGAUCCGCUCAGCCUGAGUUGAAGCAGCAAUGAGUUCAGUUCAGUAUCUGAGAGAGUUCAUCAAGGAGAGACUAACUGCUGUUUGUGAAGAAAUCUUCUCAGAGGUUCAAAAAACCAUCGUCCAGUAUGAGGAGGAGAUCAACCGUCAGCACAGACUGCUGGAUAUCAGCCGGAAACCCGACAGAAACUCACACAUCAUAGACCUCCCACAUCAUCAUGACUGUGAAGAAGAGGAGGGUCUGUAUGAGCAGCAGGUCUGUAACCAGGAGAGUAACUCCAGUCUGGACCAGGAGGACCCAGAGCCUCCACAGGUUAAAGAGGAACAGGAGGAGCUCUGCAGAAGUCAGGAGGGAGAGCAGCUUGGACUGAAGCAGGAGGCUGAAGGCAUUAUUGUCUGGACUGAUGAAGAGCAGCUCAGACUGAUGGAGACCAUCUGGGAACCUGUGAUAAAGUUACACAGAAUAGUUCUCGGCGUCUCGUGUGCUUCUUCUUCUUUCUCUUCACACAAAGUCGUAGAAGUUUUCAGACGUGUCACAGCUGGAUGUGAGGAUGGGACCCACUUUCCUCUGUGAGCUGGGCCUAUUCUGUGAGUGCAUCACUUCUUCCUUUGAUUCAUGCUGACUGAUGAACAUGUUUUAGUAAAAUGACAGAGUUUCAGUCAUUUGCAGCAUUUCAGUUCAUGUUUUGU